This 24096-nucleotide long non-coding RNA is filed under the name Populus trichocarpa (black cottonwood). RNAcentral's name for it is "long non-coding RNA (PTRI_LNC004449)". Lineage: Eukaryota; Viridiplantae; Streptophyta; Magnoliopsida; Malpighiales; Salicaceae. The record is from RNAcentral.
GGAAGAGGUAUUUGAAUUGGGUGAGGCUGAUGAAGGAAGCAGUGAGGAGAAGGAGCUGCCGUUGCUGUCAUCUUUAACAGAGUUAAAGCUGCGAGGGUUACCUGAGCUCAAAUGCAUAUGGAAGGGGCCCAUUGGACAUGUCAGCCUCCAAAGUCUUGCUCGUCUGUAUCUGAAUUCUCUCGAUAAACUGACAUUUAUCUUCACACCGUCCCUCGUUCAAAGUCUGCCAAAGCUAGAAAGCCUUCACAUAAGUAAAUGCGGUGAAUUGAAGAAUAUUAUCAGAAAAGAGUCGCGAACCUAGGCUGACGCGAGAGUGCGUACGCACUCAGAGGAACUGGCUNNNNNNNNNNNNNNNNNNNNNNNNNNNNNNNNNNNNNNNNNNNNNNNNNNNNNNNNNNNNNNNNNNNNNNNNNNNNNNNNNNNNNNNNNNNNNNNNNNNNGAUUGUUCGUGCUGACAAUUUAAAGCAAAUAUUUUACGGUGGAGAAGGAGAUGCACAUAACAGAGAUGGCAUUAUCAAGUUCCCUCAACUAAGAGAAUUGUCUCUUCGGCUCAGAUCAAAUUACAGCUUUUUAGGUCCACGGAAUUUUGAUGCUCAAUUGCCUUUGCAAUACUUAGCCAUUGAAGGCCACGAAGAAGUGGGUAAUUGGUUGGCACAGCUACAAGUACGUAAUUUAUAUUUCUCCACUUAAUUUAAAUUGUCAAUUGCGAUAAUUUAUUCUUUCUUCCUCCAAAUUUCUAAAAGUAAAGUAAUUGAUAAAUGCUAGGAAAUCCAAGUUUCAUUUUUUUUUUAAUUAUAUAACAAACAUAGUAACUUAUUUUUAUUUUUUUAUGAUUUGUUUUUUUAUCUAAACAUAUAUAAAUAUAAGAAAAUUAACUGCCUCAUUGUUGUUUGCGUUAUUAAUACCAAAAAUUAAUCAUAGAAAUCAUAUUAUCUGUUAGAUUUAAUGUAUAAGAACAUAAAUUUUGUGUUCAAGUAUUUAAUUAAUUACUAUUUUUAUUUUUAUUUUUUACAUGAAACUAAUUAUUAGGAGUUGUAUUAACCUUUUUUUUUCGCAAAAAUCUAAUUAUUAUUCAACUUAUCUCUAAUUAAGAAAAAAAAACUGAAACAAUAAUAUGUAAUCUCUAAGAAGUAUUUAAUCCUGUUUUUUUUUUUUUUUUUUCCUCCUAUUUAUACAUCAUAUAAAUUGUUCUCUGAUAAGAUGGUCGUCCAUGGGCAGCAAAACGACUUCUUACAAAGAUUAGAAUUUGUACGAGUGGACGAUUGUGGGGAUGUUCGCGCUCCGUUUCCAGCAAAAUUGUUGCGAGCUCUGAAAAAUCUGAAGGUGGAAAUUGAGGGCUGCAAAUCAUUGGAAGAGGUAUUUGAAUUGGGUGAGGCUGAUGAAGGAAGCAGUGAGGAGAAGGAGCUGCCUCUGCUGUCAUCUUUAACAAUGUUACAUCUAAACAGAUUACCUGAGCUCAAAUGUAUAUGGAAGGGGCCCACCAGACAUGUCAGCCUCCAAAGUCUUAUUUUUCUGGAUUUGUAUUCUCUCGACAAACUGACAUUUAUCUUCACAACGUCCCUCGCUCAAAGUCUGCCAAAGCUAGAAAGACUUGACAUACGUGAUUGCGGUGAAUUGAAGCAUGUUAUCAGAGAAGAGGAUGGUGAAAGGGAAAUAAUUCCAGAGUCUCCUCGCUUCCCAGAAUUAAAAACUCUCUACAUAUCUCACUGUGGUAAACUGGAAUAUGUCUUCCCUGUCUCUAUGUCUCCAAGCCUUCCGAACCUGGAAGAGAUGACGAUUUCUUAUGCUGACAAUUUAAAGCCAAUAUUUUACAGUGGAGAAGGAGAUGCACUCACCACAGUUGGCAUCAUCAAGUUCCCUCGACUAAGAAAAUUGUCUCUUUCAAAUUGCAGCUUUUUUGGUCCAAAUAAUUUUGCUGCCCAAUUGCCUUCUUUGCAAAUUCUAAAAAUUGAUGGCCACAAAGAAUUGAGAAAUUUGUUUGCACAGCUCCAAGUACGUCCUUUAUAUUUCUCCAAUAUUUUUUUUCCUUUUUAAUUUAAAUUGUCAACUUCAAUACAUGUUGAUUUCUUCCUUUAAAUUUCUGAAACUGAAGUAAUUGAUGAGUGGAGAUAAAUCCUUUAGCCAUCCACUAAAUUUAAAAGGAUUUGUCUAACUGUAUCAUUCCCUGUCUCUUGAUGCAGGGGUUGACAAAUUUGGAAACAUUAUGCUUGGAAUCCCUGCCUGACAUGAGGAGUAUAUGGAAGGGUCUCGUGCUGAGCAAAUUGACUACUUUGGAGGUGGUUAAGUGUAAGAGACUGACACAUGUAUUCACAUGCAGCAUGAUUGUCAGUCUAGUUCAACUGAAAGUUCUAAAGAUAUUGUCCUGUGAGGAAAUGGAGCAAAUCAUUGCUAAAGAUGAUGAUGAAAACUACCAGAUAUUGUUAGGAGAUCAUCUCCAAUCUUUAUGCUUUCCCAAUUUGUAUGGAAUUGAGAUUAGAGAAUGUAACAAGUUGAAGAGUCUCUUCCCAGUAGCCAUGGCUUCAGGUCUCCCAAAGCUGCAAACACUGAGAAUAAGUGAAGCCUCUCAAUUAUUGGGAGUAUUUGGGCAGGAUGAUCAUGCUUCACCUAUCAACGUUGAGAAGGAGAUGGUGCUUCCUAAUCUGUGGGAGCUGUCGCUAGAACAAUUAUCAAGUAUUGUCUGUUUUAGUUUCGGAACCUGUGAUUUCUUAUUCCCUUGUUUGGGGAAGUUGAAGGUCCAUCAAUGUCCAAAGUUGACCACAAAAUUUGCUACUACACCAGAUGGUUCAAUGAGUGCUCAAUCAGAGGUGCUGCUGAUUUGACUUGAUUUCUUGCCUCUCUUUUAGCGUGUUUGUUUCUUGUUUCCCUCAAUAAUAAGAUUUACAAGUUAAAAUGAGCAUGCCAUGCUUGACUUGGUUUUACAGGUAUAUGAAGUAGAUGAAGAUUCAAGCAUUAAUAGAGACUGGACCAGAAAUAACGGGUGGAAAGAAGAUGGAGACUCAUGUCUUUGAGCUGUGAAUAUAUUUGGACUUGAUGCUGUACUAUUUGUUCAAAAGUUUGAUAUCAUAUUUUCCUAGCAGAACAGUGUCAUGUUGAAUGGUUUUUUCGAGCACAUACCUUGCUGGAUUUUGCUAGAGAUUCUAAAUAUUCCUCUGAUUUCUAUACAUUUGAGCUCAGGUAACCCUUGCAGCGGUAACUCUGUUAAAGAUGACAGCAGCGGCAGCUCCUUCUCCUCACUGCUUCCUUCAUCAGAAGAUGGUGAUGAUGAUGAUGAUGAUUUCAAGGUUGGUGCUGCGAAUAUGUUUUUGAUUGGUGGAAGUAAUUCCUACUGUUUCAUUGGAAAUGGGAUACAAAUUGGCUUCACUUUGUAACAGUCUUAUUUAUCAAAAGAAGAUAUCGACUUAUCUAUAUAUGUGUGAAUAAGGUUAUCUGCUUGUUUACCCAUGUAAUGUAAUGUUGUGUGUUUAGUCAUUACUGUGCGAACCUCAAAAAAAUAAUGUUGCUUGACCAUUAUCGUACAAGCCUCCAGAAGUAGGGGCGUAUGUUGCUUGCCCAUUUGUGUUUCUUUUCAAGUGUGUGAACCUUAAAAAAUAAAGGCAUAAUGUUUAAUGUGUAUUGAAGGAAAGAAUCCCAAGUAAUUAGGAGAUAUACUGUAAUCAAUGGGAUUAAAUAAUUUACCAAAGUUAAUCCUAGAGUAUCUGAUUAUAUGUAAACUGUGUAUAUUGUUGGGAUAUUGCCAUUAUUGUGGCAAUACCCCACCACUAAUUGUGGCUUAGUGGAAGCAUCACUAAUGCCACAAUUAGUGGCAUGAUUUCGGGACCUAAGAAAUGCAUAUAAAGGAGGCUUAUAUUUGAGAGCAAGAGUGUGAGAGAAGAGAGAAUUGUGAGAGUGAAGUGACGAGAAGAAGAGAGAAAGAGGAGCUGCUGCCAUGGGCAGCAGCCCUGCUGCCAUAUGCAGCAGAGUGUGUGAACUGGGAGUUGAGUGAUCCUCCUCCAUGUAUUGUUUUGUAAACCUUUCUCUACCUCUAAUACAAUGACUCUCUCCCGUGGAUGUAGGCGGUUUUGCCGAAUCACGUUAAAUAUUGUGUCAGUGUGCUUACCCUCCGAUGAGCAACUAUCAGUACACCCCCGGUCCGCGCAUGGGGGUGACGGAAUUCCCCAACAAUUGGUAUCAGAGCACAUGGUUUAAAGGGGUGUUUGAUUUUUGCUCAAAAAUGAAAGUUGUCACAAUUGUGUUUUGACCAUACCACUGUGUAGAGAAGGAAGAGACGAAGCCACUGGUGAAAACGGCGUCAAAAUCGGACGUCGGACAUGACCGCACUCUCCAUCACUCUCCGGCAAGGCGUCUGCCCACGCGCGCAGACGCGCCCCACGCGUCUUCUUCACCCGGAUGGGUUGACCCGACCCGAAUACCAGUUGACCCGACCCAUGUGACUGACUCGGAUAUGGAUGACGUCAGCAUGACAUAAUUGUGAUGUCAGCAUGCACAGUAGGCAUGCCAGGGAUGACAUCAGCCUGAUGUAAGUGUGAUGUCAGCAUGCACAGUAGGCAUGCCAUGUCAUCAGACACAUCAUCGACCAGUCAGUAGACACGUCAGCACAGUGGGACCCACCUGCCACGUCACCAGCCACGAGUUGAGCCGAGCCGAGUUGAGCCGAGCCGAAUUGGAGCCGAGCCGAGACGCGAGCCGAGGGACAGGAUCCAGUGUAGCGGAUCCUAAGUGCAACCGGAUCUGAGAUUGAAUCUAAGCCGUUAAUCAGGCCAGAAUUGUUUUGAUCAAAUUGUAGCCGUCUGAAAUGCGAUUUGGACGAUUUCAGACUUGUUUCCAGCUAAUUUGAUCGUUCCGGAUGCAAUGGUACGGUCCGAUCAUUGAGAUUUGAGACCAAAAAUGGCGGUGGUUAAUUAUUAAAGAGAGAUUGCCCGAUCAGGAGGCAUCCGAUGGUCUUCAUGGUGGUCGAUGAAGAUGAAGAAGAAGGUGCACAUGUUUACCCAAUUACAUGUGCUGAACUGCUAAGUGGGGAGAAAUUUAACUGCCUUGAGGGAAGGCAAAAUUGGGACACUCUGGACACCCGAUCAAGUGGACAGUUAGAGGUGUAGAGUGAAAACUGAUGAAGACCAAUCUUGACGAAUCUAAGAACUGGUAGUCUCGUCAGAUGUUGAGAAAUCAUGUAUUAAACCAGUAUAUUCCAGAUCACUUGUAAAGGAAAACCGCAACAAAGCUAGCAAAUGGUUGUAUAUACGGAAAGACAGUACGAUGGAUAGAUAUGGCCUAAGAAGUUCUGUCUAGGAGAUUGGGUUUUAAGCGGGACCAGUGUGACCCCUCCAAUCUUUCCUGGGAACUUGCUUAGUGGAAGGAUUAUCCAUACGGUACUAUUUUCGUAUAUAUAGCAGUUUGUAAUGAAACAGUUGAAGACUAGCAGGAUGGCGGCACAAGGGAACAGUUGGGUUCCAAAGGUUCAAGGAUCUGAUGGAGUGGUGAUUUCUCCAAAGAAGUUAGAUUCGGUGACUGUGAUUUCUUGAGGGAGAAUUGAUGAAGACCCUGAUAAUGGAAGAGGAAUACAGCAAGAGGAUAAAGAUUGGCACCCUAUUUUGACUUGGACAGGUGUUGUGACAGGAUGAGCUGCUGUCAAACAUAAGCAAGGAAUAGGGAGAAAUUCUGGAGAACAGAAAAUGCACGAGGGCACACGGAGAUUGUGCAUGAGUACCCGUAAGAUUCAACGAGGUACUGUAAUGAGACAACAGGUGCAAGGAGAAGAAGUGUUCCCAGAUGAAGCUCAGAGCAGAGACUGUUAAAGUUUGUACAACAGGAAGUCUCUUGUGCUCUUAAUGAAGACAACAUGCGAAGACCUUUCCAAUGCAUGCAAGGAUGGAAAGAGAGCUGUUGCAGAGGCACCUAAUUGAGGGGGUGCAAAUGCCUAUGAUAAAAGGCGACCGCCUAUGAUGAAAGGCGAAGACACCAAAGAGAGUUGGUGUAGGUGGAGCUGUCAAGCAGAAAGGCACAGAAGCUCCAAACAUAGAAAUUGAGGUGGAGGAUUGCGAGGAGUAUACCACAACUUUCUCUUUCUAUGUAGUCAGUGGCAGCAAUCUCUCCCAUAGUGCACAUGGUGGUAGAGAAUUUUGGAGCCACUUUGAAGCAUCUCAGCUGAAGGAGGAUGCGACCGCCCCAUGACAACGGGCGAAGACACCUUAGAUGGAAGGUGUGUGAUGGCCAUGAUAGGAGCCCGGAUCAGACCGCCCUAUGACAACGGGCGAAGACACCUUAGAGAAGGUGUGAGGGCCUUGAUAUGAGCCCCAGAUCAGACUGUCCUAUGACAACGGGCGAAGACACCUAAGGAGAAGGUGUGUGGGCCACGAUAUGAGCCCAGUUCAGAACGCCCCAGAGCUAAAAUGAUGGCUGGAUAUAAGUGGACAGGUGUAUAGCCAAUGAAGUGGCUAUGAUGAGUAUGGAGACAGAUGCAGGAUUGACUUUCAUGGAUAUUGCCCCCAUGCUAAAGAUCAAUGAGCUAGAAGACAUUUGCCUUGGACAAUAAGUGUGUGACUUGUGGAGCAUUAAGACGCGGCUGCUAUGAAGGAGCAGAGGGCAUGCGCAGGUUCCCUGAACAAGUUGACUCUUGUCAAGGUGGUGAGCUCGGUAAUGGCAUUGUAAUACUCAGAGUAUGAAGAUAGAUAUGGAUCAACCUUUAUGGGCUGCCCCCAUGGUGAAAGGUGGAGAGCUACCUGGACUCUUACGACUAAGAGCGAGAGACUCACGGAGAAGUAAGGCGUGGUUCCUAGGGUGGAACAGAGGGCAUGCGCAACUCCUGGAUGAGUAGACUCUUGGAAGAGUGGUGAGCUUGUGAUCACAUUGAAAUACUCAAUGACUGUCGCACUUGGGAAUAUUCGUUUGAGGGGGUGUCAUAAGCCUUGGUGUAAGGCUUGAAAAAUCAUUCCGGACCGAGCAUGGUUGAUACGCUCGAAGGGGAAUGUUGUGUUGAAGACGCUCUCAGAAUGGAAGCUUGGAAGAGCUGCAAAAUGCAAGCUUGUGCUGAAGAAGCAAAAGGACAAUUGCCCACAUAAAUGGCAAAGGGGUGAUUGUUAGGAAAUUGCCAUUAUUGUGGCAAAUGCCCCACCCACCACUAUGCUUAGUGGAAUACUUAGUGGAAGCUUCAUUCAUGCCAUAAUUAGUGGCAGGAUUUCAGGACCCGUUGUCCCCUUGAUGUGCUGGAGAAGGCUACUAAGAAAUGCAUAUAAAGGAGGCUUAUAUUUGAGAGCAAGAGUGUGAGAGAAGAGAGAAUUGUGAGAGUGAAGUGACGAGAAGAAGAGAGAAAGAGGAGCUGCUGCCAUGGGCAGCAGCCCUGCUGCCAUAUGCAGCAGAGUGUGUGAACUGGGAGUUGAGUGAUCCUCCUCCAUGUAUUGUUUUGUAAACCUUUCUCUACCUCUAAUACAAUGACUCUCUCCCGUGGAUGUAGGCGGUUUUGCCGAAUCACGUUAAAUAUUGUGUCAGUGUGCUUACCCUCCGAUGAGCAACUAUCAGUACACCCCCGGUCCGCGCAUGGGGGUGACGGAAUUCCCCAACAUAUAUAUAUAUAUCGUGCUUCUUUGCAAUAUGAAGACACUGAAUACAGAAUACAAUAAUAUUAUCAUUCUGUUCAUGGUAUGUUCUGAGAACCUAGAAAUACAACCCAGUAAUCCACACAACCAAAUACCUCAUGGCGGGUGACGAAGACCAAAAGCUUCUUGAUCAAAACAAGAGCUCAAACUCUUUCAAGACCUCAGAACCAUGGGAGAACUCCAAUCAUUCACUUUUUCUCCAUCACUCAGAUCAACCAGGCGCUGUCCUCGUUUCAAAAUCGCUGAUGGAAGACAAUUACACAACAUGAGUACAGUCAAUGAGCAUGGCACUUACUAUAAAAAACAAGAAGGGCUUUGUAGAUGGAACUCUCAAGAGACCGACUCAUAAUCCUGAUGAGCAACAACAAUGAGACUGCUGUGACAUUCUUGUAAAAACCUGGCUGCUAGGAGCCAUGUCGAAGGAUAUCUUAGGCAGUGUCAUCCAUUGCAAGGACACAAGAGGUAUAUGGCUAGAGCUGAAAGAGAGAUUUUCUCAAACUAACGUAGUUUCAUUGUUCCAUAUAGAAAAUGCCAUUCAUGACUGUGAACAAAGUACAAACUCAGUCAUGUCCUUUUUCACGAAGCUCAAAAGCUGUGGGAUGAGAAGGAUGCCCUCUGUGCAUUCCCUCCUUGCAAUUGUGAGGCAGCUACCGCUGUUAAGGUUUUCAUGGAAACACAAAAAGACCAUGAAGUUCCUGAUGGGGCUUAACGAAAGCUAUGCACAGACCCGAAGCAAUAUAAUAGGCAUGGAUCCUCUUCCGAACCUGGACAAAGCCUAUGCAAUGGCUUUACUACAUGAGAAGCAGGCAGAGGCCUUUACUGGAAAGUCGAUGACACCAUCAGAAGCAUCUGCUUUUGCAGUAAAGAAGGUGACCUGUGAUUUUAACUCUACAGAAGGAGAAGCUAAAUUUUGUGAAAAAUGCAACAUGAAUAAUCACAACACAAAGAACUGCAGAGCUCAUCUCAAAUGCACAUAUUGCAAUGGAAAAGGACAUACCUAUGAUUAUUGUUGAAGGAGAAAGAACGCUACUGAAGGUGGACAAACAAGAUCGAAAGCAAAUCAUAUAGCCCCUCAAAAUAAUAGUAAGGAAGCUUUGCCUAAUUUCCCUUUCUCACGAGAAGAGUGCCAUCAACUUCUCAGUCAGCUUUUAACAAAAAUGAAGUCUGCCUCCGCCAAUCUAGUCAUUUUCGGUUUGCACACAGUAGUGAAGAAACAACAUGGAUACUGGAUAGUGGUGCAAGUGAUUAUAUUGUUUGUAACCCAAAUUUGCUUACCUCUCUAAAAUCAGUCCAUAACCGUUGGGUUAAGCUUCCUGAUGGAACCUCCACACACGUUACUCAUAUUGGCACAUUAUCUUUCUCUCCCCACUUUGUUCUUCAUAAUGUCCUUUAUGUCCCACUCUUCUAUCUCAAUUUGAUUUCUAUGAGCAAACUAGCAUUUGAUUCAUUCUAUAUUACUAUCUUUCUCAGACAAAUUUGUGUCAUACAGGACCUACGAUCGGGGAAGAUGAUUGGGAUGGGAACUGAGAAUGAGGGCCUUUACUGCCUCAAUUACUCAACGAAAGGAACAUGCAAUGCAGUACACACCAACACAAACAACUUGUGGCAUCAACGCCUUGGUCACCCUUCAAAUAAAGCAUCUUCAUUAUUUCCAUUCCUUGCCAAUAAAACUUGUAUUUCAAGUACUUGCUCUAUCUGUCCUUUAUCCAAACUCACUAGACAACCUUUCCCAUUAAGCACUACACAUAGUGAAUUUUGCUUUGAUUUAAUUCACAUUGAUAUUUGGGGUGGUUAUCAUGUCCCAUCUUCUUCUUCUGGUGCACAAUAUUUUUUAACCAUUGUUGAUGACCAUUUACGAAGCACAUGGGUAUAUUUGAUAAAAACACAAAUUUGAAGCACACAUUCUACUUAUUCAUUUUAUUCACUUGGUUGAAAAUCAGUUUGGAAAAAAUGUUAAAGUUGUAAGGAGUGAUAAUGGCCUAGAAUUUAAGAUUUCCUAAUUUUAUUCAUCUAAAGGCAUUAUCCAUCAAACUAGUUGCGUCAACACACCACAACAAAAUGGUGUGGCUGAGCGCAAACAUCGACAUUUGCUAAAUGUAGCUAGAGCUCUCUUUUUUCAAGCAACUCUACCAAAACAUUUUUGGAGGGAUGCCAUACUCACUGCGGCUUACUUGAUCAAGUUAUUCUUAAAGGGAAAACACCAUUUGAAAACCUUUUUCAUAAGGAACCAAGUUAUUCCCAUUUAAAGGUUUUUGGAUAUCAAUGUUUUGUGUCCACAUCCAACCCGUCCUAGCAAAUUUGAUCCCAGGUCCACAGAAUGUAUUUUUCUUGGCUACCCACAUGGCCAAAAAGGGUAUAAGGUUUAUAACUUGACAACUAAGAAAAUCCUCGUUUCAAGGGAUGUGAUUUUCUUUGAGCAUGUGUUUCCUUUUAAAACAAAUUCUGCUUCCCAUUUUUUGCCCCACUUACUAAUUUUCAUUCCUGCAAUUUCUCAUCCACAUUCCAUGCACAACUCCAUUCCUACACCUUAUCCUUAAAAUCCCCAAUCUUCUGCUGACCAUCACUUUCCUGAUACUACUCCACCCAUAGUUGUUAAAAUCUCGAUUUAACUCGUAAAAUCAUAUGAUUUUACGAGUCAAUAUAUGUUAUCGUGUUAAAUCAGCUUAAAAACUUGAAAAANNNNNNNNNNNNNNNNNNNNNNNNNNNNNNNNNNNNNNNNNNNNNNNNNNNNNNNNNNNNNNNNNNNNNNNNNNNNNNNNNNNNNNNNNNNNNNNNNNNNUAGUGUGCCGCACGUAUUUAAGUAUACUAACAAAAAGGUACCGCCAAAAUGAGCAGUGUGGCAGCGACAAGCUCGAGGGUGGUUAAGGGAAGGGUUAAACUGGGUUAUACAGUACUUGCAUGUUCUGAGAGUUUUGUUGUUAUUCUGGUUUAUGGAAAAAUGAGUUAUCAGCAAUCUUUGUGAUUCUAUGAUGGACUUCUGGUAAGAUUGAAGAGAGAAGGUUGUGUUUUGAUGGAGAAAAUGUGAGAAAGGGAGUUAAUCGUGGUGGAGAGUAAAAGCCAUAUCUUUUCUUUCUUCUAAUCUCUUAGUGACUAUCGAGAAAGCAAAUCUCUUAGUGACUAUCAAGAAAGCAAGACAGUUCUCUUUUCCAGUGAAGGGAAAUUUGCUACAAUGGUUUGUUUGACAGGACGGUUAAUGGGCUUGGAAAUUUUCUUAAAAAUAUCUCUCAUUUUUUCUGAAACUUUUCUUAAAAAUAUCUCUUAUUUUUUGCACACAUUUCUCCCUGAUGUGUGAAAUACAAAGAUAUUAGGAAUGAUUUCAGCUUGUAUUAGAAAAUUUAUUAAGAAUUUUUUUUUGUAAAAAUUUCAAAUUUCCUUACGAUUUUACGCUUUUACGAUCUGUUUUUACAAUCAGAGUUUAUUUUGUAUUUUCCAUGCCGUGUCAAAAAUAUGUUUUUGAAAACCUUGAUUCCACCCUCAGAUCCAAUUUCCACUCCACUUACUCCUUCUCUCACAAAUAUCAAUCCCUCCAUUACUUCUAAAAAUAAUCCCGCACUUGACACAUCUUUUAGUUCCAUUUCAUCACCUUUGCAACCUCCCAACUGCCUUCACCACAACCACGCAAGUCUUCUCGAGCCAUAAAACUUCCAACUGCAUUGCAGGGCUUUCAUAUUGAUGCAGCUCUUCCCUCAUGCCCCGAUCCGUCAGCUUCCUCGAACAAGGUCAUCUCUCUAGGUAUGGCUCAUAGCCUCUCUCAUAUCCUAUCUUAUGCUAAUCUUUCUUCCCCUCACAGAACCUUUACUACUAAUAUGACCAUACAAAGAAAGCCUACCUCAUUUUCUCAGGUAGUUAAGGACCCGAAAUGGAGAGCAGCUAUGCAGCAAGAGGUUCAAGCACUUCAUGCUAACAAGACUUGGAGUUUGGUUUCUCCUCCGGCUCACAAACGACCAAUUGGUUCUAAGUGGGUAUAUAAAAUCAAGUAUAAUCCCGAUGGCACAGUUGAGCGCUACAAGGCUAGGUUAGUGGCCAAUGGUUACAGCCAAGUUGAAGGGAUUGAUUAUAGGGAAACAUUUGCGCUAGUUGCUAAGCUCACAACAGUUCGUGUCUUACUCAGUCUUGCAGCCAUGCAGAAUUGGCACCUUCAUCAAUUGGACGUAAAUAAUGCGUUUCUCAAUGGAGAUCUCUAUGAAGAUGUUUACAUGUAGCUUCCUCCUGGCUUCGAACGAAAGGGGGAGAAUCAGGUUUGUAAGCUACACAAAUUAUUAUAUGGCCUGAAGCAAGCCUCAAGGCAAUGGUUUUUGAAGCUUUCCUCAGCCCUCAAAUAAGUUAGCUUCAAGCAAUCAUAGUCCGACUAUUCCUUGUUUGUCCGAAACCAUCAAGGUAUCUUCACAGCUUUGUUGGUCUAUGUCGAUGAUGUUAUUCUUGCAGGGAACAAUUUAGAAGACAUCACAAAGACCAAGUGCUUUCUCUCAAGCCACUUCAAACUGAAGGAUAUGAGACAAUUGAAAUACUUUCUUAUAAUAGAAGUAGCAAGAUCCAAGCACGGGAUUUCCUUGUGUCAAAGGAAAUAUGCAUUGGAAAUCCUUGAAGAUACAGGGUUCCUUGGUGCUAAACCUUCACGGUUUCCAGCUGAACAAAAUGUGACACUUAUACAAGGAGAUGAAGACUUAUUAGAAGACGCCUCCCAAUAUCGAAGACUGGUUGGACGUCUCAUUUAUCUAACCAUCACACGGCCAGACCUUGCAUACGCAGUUCAUAUACUUAGUCGGUUCAUGGACAAACCUAGGCAGCUUCACUUAGAAGCAGCACACAAGGUAUUGAGGUACAUCAAGCAAGCACCUGGUCAGGGAAUUCUCUUACCUUCCAAAGGGUCAUUGGAUUUAAGGGCAUAUUGUGAUGCAGACUGAGUUCAUUGCAAGGACACUAGAAAGUCAACAACUGGCUAUUGUAUUUUCCUUGGACAUGCUCCCAUUUCAUGGAAGACAAAGAAACAAAGUACAAUAUCAUAUUCGAGUGUAGAAGUUGAGUAUCAUUCCAUGGCUACUACAUGCUGUGAAAUAACAUGGCUGCAAUACAUUUUAAGGGACUUGAAUGUUAAGCAUGAGCAACCAGAUAAAUUGUUUUGUGACAAUAAGGCAGCAAUACACAUAGCCUCAAAUCUCGUGUUUCAUGAACCAAGCAUAUAGAAAUAGACUGUCAUCUGGUGCGAGAAAAGGUGCAGAAAGAAUUGGUUUAACCAGAGCACAUACGGACCAAGGAGCAACCAGCAGACAUAUUCACUAAGCCACUAAGUUCAAACCAGUUCUCCAUAUUACUGGGCAAGUUAGGAGUGAUCAACAUAAACUCUAACUUGAGAGGGAGUAUUGAAGGAAAGAAUCCCAAGUAAUUAGAUGAUAUACUAUAAUCAAUGGGAUGAAAUAAUUUACCAAAGUUAAUCCUAGAAUAGCUCCUAGAAUAUUUCCUAGAAUAGUGGAUGUGAUUGUAUGUAAACUGUGUAUAUAUAUGUCGUGCUUCUUUGCAAUAUGAAGACACUGAAUACAUAAUACAAUAAUAUUAUCAUUCUGUUCAGUGUGGACUUUCAUUCAUUCUCCUUUCUACGACUUGAGUAUUUUCUGCAUCAGCAUGUUUUCUCUAUUAAUUUGAUGUUCUGUUUCUAUUGCAUAAUGCAUUAUGCGGUUUUGGGCAUCAGCAAUGCCGCUCAAGAUCUUCAAUAAAUGUUAUUGUAUGAGUAUGUGAAUGUAUUUGGGCAUUCAAAUCUCAAGAUGACUGAGACUUGAUUUCAUGCUUUCCUAGCAGAACAAUCUCAUGUAGAAUGGUUUUUUCGAGCAGAUACCUUGCUAGAGAUUCUAAAAAAAAUUAAAAUCAAAAGUCAAAAAUAUAUUAAAUCAAUUUACGAAAGUCGUAUAUGAUAUAAUCUAACUUUAACUACUUCUUGAAAUCUCUUUGUUGUAAUCUUAAUUAUAUAUGCUUCAUAUUAUAUUUUAAAUUAAAACAUUUGUUAUUCUUACCAUAACAAAUUGUAAUGUGGGCAAGACUCAAGUUAUUAUGCAUUGAACUAUUCUCCUAUAAUGCAAUCCUUUUAUAGGUUGCAUAAAAGUUUAAUAUGGUCCUUGAAAUUUUUGUUUUUCAUAUUUAUUUAAUCCUAUAGUGUUAAAUUUUUAUAAUUCAAUCUUAAAACUUCAUUUUUAUCAUAUUUUUAGUUAUUGAAUGUUGAGAGGAGACAGGGAAUGUGGUGAGAAAACGGAGAAAAGAGAGGAUUUGACUGAUCAUAUUCUAGUAAUAAAAAGACCGAUUUUAAUAUCAAUAGAUUCAUCUUGAACAUGAGAGUUUCAUUAAAAUGAUAUUGUUAUUUAACCAUUAAUGAUCUUAAAUAAACAUUUACUUGAUUUAAAAAUGAAAAACCAAUCAGAAUCUAAAUUAAUUAUCGAGUCAUGAUCUACUUAUUUAACCAUUAAUUCUAGGUUUAAGAUUGAAAAUGAUAAAUUUCAGUUUGGUCUCUCAAUUUAUGCAAAAUUUAGUUUAGUUCCUAGAGCAUAAUCUGAGAUUCUGGAUAAAAUGUAAUGUUGAGAAAUUAUAGGGACAUGUUACUUAGUAGCUCAAAAAGAUAAGGGACUAAAAUGAACUUUGCAAACAAUUACAAUGUCGCCGCAUAUUUUUACCAAGUUUUUCAUUUCAGUCAUGUAUCUUUGAAUUCAACUCUUAUACUUAAAAAACAAAAUGCAAUUGAGUUUUAAUUUGGGCAUAAAGAGAUUCGAUUAUGAAAAAAAAAAAAUUUCAAAUAUCAAAUUGAAAAUUUUAAAAAAAUUCACUAUUAAAUUUCAAAUAUCAAAUUGCAUCAAGUGAUUUUUUGAGAUCAUUUCCCAAUUGAGGACGACAGACUACGGGAAAGAGGAGAUUGGUUGUGGUGGGGAUUGAAGCUGUGAUUUGGGAUCGGUUCAGCAUCUUCUGCUGAUAGGUUUAUCCAGCAGACUACAAGAGGUAAGAACCUGCUCUUAUAUAUCAUGCAAAGAAAUGGAUCAGAUCAGAGUUGCCAAACAUGAAAAGAGAACAAGAGCUAAAGCUGCAUAAAUUAACAGCUUAAUAAAAAGAAUACAAUUUUAUUGUGAUCUUUUGAAAAUAAAAGAGAAUAGAAAAAGGCUACAAAAUUCUUGGAGGCAUAGAAAGAGGUAUAAAUGAAUGAACUGUAAUAAUUGAACAAAGAAUUGAUAAAUAUAAAUAGAAAAAAAUAAAGAGCUCUGAAUUCUUAGAGAGAAAACCGUGAGAGUGAAAAAAGAAAAACAGGAAAAGAGGAAAAAAUAAAGAAAGAUGAAGAGAGUUGGAUAAAAUAAGUUAAAAUGUAAGAUUUACGCAUUGAUGUGUAUAAAUGUGUUUUUCUUAGCUUUAAUUUUCUGUUUUGUUGAAUAUUAGAGUUUUGAAGAUUGUGUUUUGGGUUUGAUUGAUGAAUUGAUUUGAAUAUUAUGUGUUAAUUGUUAUUGAUAAUGAGUUAUAUAGUUGAUUUUUAAAGAUUUUAAGUAAAAAUGAUGAUUUUGAGUUAUGGUUUGUUUUAAUGAUGAAUUUGAGUUAGAAAUCUUGAUAUAUCAAUAGUUGAUCUGUGAAAAUUCUGGGUUUGAGGUUGAAGAUCAUGAAAUUUCAGUUUGGUCCUUCAAUUUGUGAAAAUUUCAGUUUAGUUCCUAGAGCAUAAUCCAAGAUUCUAUAUAAAAUGUAAUGUUGAGAAAUUAUAGGGACAUGUUACUUAGUAGCUCAAAAAGAUAAGGAACUAAAAUGAACUUUUCAAAUAAUUACAGUGUCACUAUAUAGUUUUACGGAGUUUUUCAUUUCAGUUGUCUAUUUUUCAAUUCAACUCUUAUCCUUAAAAAAAAAAUGCAAUUGAGUUUUAAUUUUAGCAUAAAGAGAUUCAAUUAUGUAAAAAAAUAAUAAUAAUCCAAAUACCAAAUUGAAAAUUUUAAAAAAAAUUCACUAUUAACAUCCACAUCCACAAUAAAAUAAGUCUCGGUAAAUAAUAAUAAACAGAAAACUCUUUUAUCUUUUAAUAUAUAAUUUUGUAUUGUGACACAUAUUUUUUGAAUAAUUUUUUAUUUAAAAACAUAUUAAAAUAUUAUAUAUAUAAAAUAACAAGAAAUAUUAAAAAAUAUAUUAAUUAAAUAUUUUUAUAAAUUAAAUAUAAUUAUAAAAACCACUCUCACACAGUAAAAAAACAAAUAGCCUCGUUUUCAUACUAAUUUUCAUCUUCUAUUUUCUACAAGACUGGCUUUCUUCCUUCUUUAUCCCAUUCAUUUUUUUCUCCUUUUAUCAUGCUGUGAUUUUAAGAUUUUUAUUUUAAGUGUUUGAAUAACUAGUUGUUUUUUAAAAUAUUUUUUUAUUUUAAAAAUAUAUUAAAAUAAUAUAUUUUUUAUUUUUUAAAAAUUAUUUUUAAUAUCAAUAUAAAAAUAUAAAAAUUAAUUUAGAAUACAAAAAAUUAUUUUAUAAAAAAAUAAUUUAAAAAAUAAAAAACAAACACGCUAUUUCCCUCCUUAUUUGCUGCCGUGAUUUCAGGUCCUCUUUUCCUGCCUUAUUUGCAAGAGCAUGAAAAAAAUAAAUAAAACAAAAUGAAAUCAAACGAGCAUGGCUGUUAACAACUAAAAGUCAAAAUAUAGAGAAAAAUACUAUCGUAGUCUUUCCUUUUCUGGCUCCAACAACCUCUCCCUUUAUUUCCACGUCCCUAUCUUAUCUCAACCGUGCCUUUCCUCUUUUUUUUUUUUUUUUUUGUUUUUGAAAAGCCUUUUAAGCUUUCUCUCUCCCACUUUCUAUCCUUUCCUAAGGGUAGAUAAAGUUGAACACGUGGCGACCAUCUAUUAACUUUUGAAAUUACCUUUAUCUCCAUGUCACAGUAUUUUUUUUUAUGAAAAGUAAAUUAUUUGUUGAUAUUUGAUAGUAUGGUAAAAUAAAUUGAAAAAUAUUUUUCAAUAUUUAAUUAUGUUAUGUAAAAUAAACUGGAAAAUAACGUAUUAAUAUUAUUUUUUUCAAAUUUAUUAAAAUAACAAGUAACAAAUCUUACAAAUUAAAAAGUUGAAUGAGAAAGAAAUUAAAAAAAAUCUAAUUUCAUAAAUUAUCUCAAAUAAAAUAAAUAACAAUCAAAAUAAUGGAGAUCAAAUCUAAAAAUAAAAAACUUAAAAAAUGAUGAAAUUAAAAUAAUAAUAAUUACAAUUUCAUAAAUUAUUUCAAAUAGAAUAAGUAACAAUUAAAAGAAUAAGGACCGAAUUUGAUAGAUAAAAAAUGAUGAAAUUAAAAUAAUAAUAAUUAUAAUUUCAUAAAUUAUUUCAAAUAGAAUAAGUAACAAUUAAAAGAAUAAGAACCGAAUUUGAUAGAUAAAAAAUUUCAAUUAAAAAAAUAAAAAGAGAAAAGCAAAUAACAAUCAUAAAAGUAAAGAUUAAAUUUAAUAUAAAAUGAAAUUCUAAGGAGUGAAAUUGAAAACAAAAAUAUUCAAAACAAAAUAUAUAGUAAUUAAAAGUUUGAGGAUCAAAUUUGUUAUAAUCAACAAAUAAUAUGAUAUUUUUAAAUUUUUUAUAAUUUCUGAAAAGUGUUUUCUGCUUAAAAUAAAAAAAAAUACUUUCCUAAAAAUUAAGUUAAUUUUUUUCACUAAAAAAUAUUUUUCAUUGAAUAAUUUUUUUAAUAACAAAUAAAUAUAAAGAAUUUAUAAAAAACUACUUUCUGUCAGCAAACUCUUUUCUCCUACUUUCUACCACUAUCUUAAUGUGCAGAUCAGGUUGAACAAGUGGCGAUAAUCUAUUGGUUACUUGGAUCAGCUGGUCACCGUGUCACAAAAAGAUUUAAAAUUCUCCUUUCAUUUACUCACGUUGUAAUAUUGGUACUUUCUCAUAAAUUUGUUUUUUUUUUAAACUGCAAUUUUUAAUUAUAAUCUGUAAUUAUAAUUUCUUAUGUAAUGAAAUUGUAAUCCCUAGUAUAAUGCAUAUUCUAGGGCAAGCACAUCACUCAAGAGCAAAGCACCUCGAUGAAAUAGCAAAAAAAAAAGAUUUGAAUGACUGAAAUAAAAUAAAACCACAAAAGAAGGAUGAAGAAAGUAACCGCACUCUGGAUGCCACCAAAAACCUAGUUUUUUUAGCUUUUAUUUAUUUAUUUAAUAUUGUAAUAGGUCAAUAGAAUUACCUCAGUGAGUGUGACACAGAUGAUCAUCAUAGAUAAUUUAUUUUUAAUUGCUUGAGUUUCAUCCUUUAUUGUGUUCAUUCCAGUAAUUCUAUUCUUUGCAAGUCUGUUCCUUUAUUGAUCUGUUUUUUUUUUUUUUUUUAAAAAGAAUAAAACUAAAAAAAACUUCGACCGAUCAUAGCUUAGAUUAGUUAAUUAUAUUUGUUGUUGGAAGCGAGCUAAGUGAUUAUCCUGAACCUUUCACUCGUUUCUUUCUUUGCUAGGUGAGUACUUUUAUACAUUUUUUUUUGUAUGUCACUGUCUCUAUAUGAUCUUAAUUAUGUCAUCAAAAUGCAUUUUUAAUGGGAAUUACUGCUUUAACUCACAAGUGUCAGUUAGAAUCCUUAUACCUUGCCUUGUUGCUUUUGAAGCUGGAUUCCAUACAGAGCUAGAGGCCUUCUCCUUUUCUUCCUCCCGCUAUUUCAUUGAUUGCCAGUGCUUUUCGCACAUAUUUUCCCAAAUUAAGGUAAUGGAAUUCCUAUUCCCAUUCUCUCUGCGCCUGUUUUACUUGUAGUGACUCACUCUCACGCUCUGUAUCCUUAUUUCUCUGAUUUUCAGACCGGUGGAAAAUGGAUAUCAUAAGUGCUGCUGGACCCAUUAUAUCCAAGAUAGCAGAUCUCUUGGUGGAACCAGUAGGAAGGCAGUUCCGUCACAUGUUCUAUUUCAACGAUUUUGUUAAAGAAUUCAAACAAAAAAAGGAGAACCUGGUUUCGGAAAAAGAACGUCUGCAUGACGAUGUCGAAGCUGCUGAAAGGAAUGCUGAAGAAAUUUACGAAGAUGUCAAAAAGUGGCUGGGAGAUGCAAAAAACGAAAUUGAAGGUGCGGAGCCCUUGGAAAAUGAAAUAGGAAAAAAUGGCAAAUGCUUCACUUGGUGUCCAAACUGCAUGCGACAAUUCAAGUUAAGCAAGGCACUGGCCAAGAAGUCGGAGACUUUCAGAGAACUUUUAGAAAAGAAGUUUACAAAAGUGUCCCACAGAGCUUAUCCUCAGCCCAUAGAAUUUCUCCCAUCAAAGGAAUUCAUGCCCUCAGAAUCGUCAGAAGAAGCUUUCAAACAGAUUAUGGAAGCUCUCAAAGAUGACAACGUCAAUAUGAUCGGACUGUGCGGCAUGGGAGGGGUGGGUAAAACCACCGUGGUGAAAGAAGUAGGCAAGAGAGCCAAAGAGUUGCAGCUGUUUGAUGAAGUUUUGAUGGCUACGGUGUCGCAGAAUCCAAAUGUCAUAGACAUUCAGAACCGAAUGGCAGAUAUGUUAGGUUUGAAAAUUGAAGAAAACAGUAAAGAAGGGAGAGCAGGUCGAUUAUGGCAGAGACUGAAGGAAGUGGAGAAGAUGCUUAUAAUCCUAGAUGAUGUUUGGGAAUUUAUUGACUUGAAAGAGAUAGGGAUCCCAUUUGGUGUUGAUCACGGGGGUUGUAAAAUUCUUCUAACAACACGUCGUCAAGGCGUAUGUUCUUCUAUGAACAGCCAGCAAAAAGUGUUCUUAAGAGAAUUACCUGAAAAAGAAGCAUGGGAUUUAUUCAGAAUCAAUGCAGGUUUACGUGAUGGGAACUCUACCUUGAACACAGUGGCAAGGGAGGUUGCGAGAGAAUGCCAAGGCUUGCCUAUAGCACUUGUGACAGUGGGAAGGGCUCUAAGAGAUGCAUCUGCAGUUCAGUGGGAAUUAGCGUCUAGACAGCUCAAAGAAUCUCAAUUUGCGCGCAUGGAACAAAUUGACGAAAAAAAUAAUGCUUAUACAUGUCUUAAGUUGAGCUAUGAUUAUUUGAAGCUCGAGGAAACCAAGUCAUGUUUCGUGCUAUGCUGUUUAUUUCCAGAAGACUAUGAUAUUCCAAUCGAGGACUUGACGAGAUAUGCAGUUGGUUAUGGGUUACAUCAAGAUGCGGAGUCCAUUGAAGAUGCAAGGAAACGAGUUUUUGUGGCAAUCGAAUACCUCAAAGAUUGUUGCAUGCUGUUGGGCACUGAAACUGAAGAACAUGUGAAAAUGCAUGACUUGGUUCGUGACUUUGCUAUUCAGGUAGCAUCAUCAGAAGAAUAUGGAUUCAUGGUAAAGGCUGGCAUUGGGUUGAAGAAGUGGCCAAUGGGCAAUAAAAGCUUUGAAGGUUGUAAAACAAUUUCGUUAAUGGGCAAUAAACUAGCAGAACUUCCUGAAGGAUUGGAAUGUCCAAAGCUCAAAGUUCUAUUGUUAGAAGUGGAUUCUGGUUUGAAUGUUCCAGAGAGUUUUUUUGAAGGGAUGAAAGAAAUUGAAGUUUUGUCUCUGAAGGGAGGGCGUUUGUCAUUGCAAUCACUUGAACUCUCAACGAAACUUCAAUCGUUGGUGUUGAUCAGGUGUGGAUGCAAGGACCUCAUUUGGUUGAGAAAGCUGCAGAGACUUAAGAUUCUUGGUCUUAUGUGGUGCUCAUCCAUUGAAGAAUUACCUGAUGAAAUAGGAGAGCUCAAGGAGUUAAGGUUGUUGGAUGUGACAGGUUGUGAAAGGCUAAGAAGGAUCCCUGUGAAUUUGAUUGGAAGGUUGAAGAAGUUAGAAGAAUUGUUGAUCGGGAAAGACAGCUUUGAGGGAUGGGACAGCACAGGAGGAAUGAAUGCAAGCCUGACAGAACUAAAUUCGUUGUCUCAGUUAGCGGUAUUAUCAUUGAAGAUACCGAAGGUUGAAUGCAUUCCCAGAGAUUUUGUUUUUCCAGUUAGCUUGCGCAAAUAUGAUAUAAUAUUAGGGUAUGGGUUUGUGAGAGGAGGAUACCCAACCUCGACAAGAUUAAUUUUGGGUGGUACAUCCUUAAAUGCGAAGACAUUUGAGCAAUUGUUUUUACAUAAAUUAGAAUCUGUAGAAGUGAGGGAUUGUGGGGAUGUUUUCACUCUGUUUCCAGCAAGAUUGCGGCAAGGUUUAAAAAAUCUAAGGAGGGUAGAAAUUGAGGACUGCAAAUCAUUGGAAGAGGUAUUUGAAUUGGGUGAGGCUGAUGAUGGAAGCAGUGAGGAGAAGGAGCUACCGCUGCUGUCAUCUUUAACACUGUCAGAGUUACCUGAGCUCAAAUGCAUAUGGAAGGGGCCCACCGGGCAUGUCAGCCUUCAAAGUCUUAUUAAUCUGGAGUUGUAUUCUCUCGACAAACUGACAUUUAUCUUCACACCGUUCCUCGCUCAAAGUCUGUCAAAGCUGGAAAGCCUUGACAUAAGAGAUUGCGGUGAAUUGAAGAAUAUUAUCAGAGAAGAGGAUGGUGAAAGGGAAAUAAUUCCAGAGUCUCCUUGCUUCCCACAAUUAAAAAAGAUCAACAUAUCUUUAUGUGAUAAACUGCAAUAUGUCUUCCCAGUCUCUUUGUCUCAUAACAGAGAUGGCAUCAUCAAGUUCCCUCAACUAAGAAGAUUGUCUCUUGAGCUCAGAUCAAAUUACAGCUUUUUAGGUCCAAGGAAUUUUGAUGCUCAAUUGCCUUUGCAAAGAUUAACCAUUAAAGGACACGAAGAAGUGGGUAAUUGGUUGGCACAGCUACAAGUACGUAAUUUAUAUUUCUCCACUAAUUUAAAUUGUCAAUUGCGAUAAUUUAUUAUUUCUUCCUCCCAAUUUCUAAAAGUAAAGUAAUUGAUAAAUGAUUUUUUUUAUUUAAACAUAUAUAAAUAUAAGAAUCUUAACUGCCUCAUUGUUGUUUGCGUUAUUAAAAAUUAAUCAUAUGGAAGAACAUAUUAUCUGUUAGAUUUAACUGCCUCAUUUGAAAUAUAUUAUCUGUUAGAUUUAACUGCCUCAUGGUUUACGUAAUUUAUAUUAUCUGUUAGAUUUAUUCUUUCUUCGUCACUGCUUAUUUUUUUGUUUUAUCUAAACAUAUAUAAAUAUAAGAAACUUAAUACCAACAAUUAAUCAUAGAAAUCAUAUUAGCUUAUUUUGUGUUCAAAUAUUUAAUUCAAUUAAAAUAUCUUUAAAAAUUUAUUAACUUUAUAACUAAAAUAAAAAUAUUAGUUACUAUUUUUAUUUUUAUUUUUUACAUGAAACUAAUUAUUAGGAGUUGUAGUAACCUUUUUUCGCAAAAAUCUAAUUAUUAUUUAACUUAUCUCUAAUUAAGAAAAAAACUGAAACAAUAAUAUGUAAUCUCUAAAAAGUAUGUAAUCCUGUUUUUUCUAUUUUUUUUCUCCUAUUUAUACAUCAUAUAAAUCAUAUAAAUUGUUUUCAUGGGAGUGAAAAAAUAUAAUAUUGUUCUCUGAUAAGAUGGCCGUCCAUGGGCAGCAAAACGGCUUCUUACAAAGAUUAGAAUAUGUAAAAGUGGACGAUUGUGGGGAUGUUCGCGCUCCGUUUCCAGCAAAAUUGCUGCGAGCUUUGAACAAUCUAAAGGAGGUGAUUGUUGACAGCUGUAAAUCAUUGGAGGAGGUAUUUGAAUUGGGUGAGCCUUAUGAAGGAAGCAGUGAGGAGAAGGAGCUGCCGCUUCCAUCAUCUUUAACCAGGUUACAGCUGUACCAGUUACCUGAGCUCAAAUGCAUAUGGAAGGGGCCUACCAGCCAUGUCAGCCUCCAAAGUCUUGCUGAUCUGCAUUUGGAUUCUCUGGACAAACUGACAUUUAUCUUCACACCGUCCCUCGUUCAGAGUCUACCACAGCUAAAAAGCCUUGACAUAAGUAAAUGCAGUGAAUUGAAGCAUAUUAUCAGAGAAGAGGAUGGUGAAAGGGAAAUAAUUCAAGAGUCUCCUGGCUUCCCAAAAUUAAAAACUAUCAUCAUACAAAAGUGUGGUAAACUGGAAUAUGUCUUCCCUGUAUCUGUGUCUCCAAGCCUUCUGAACCUGGAAGAGAUGCGGAUUUUUAAAGCUCAUAAUUUAAAGCAAAUAUUUUACAGUGUAGAAGGAGAUGCACUCACCAGAGAUGCCAUCAUCAAGUUCCCUAAGCUAAGAAGAUUGUCUCUUUCAAAUUGCAGCUUCUUUGCUACAAAGAAUUUUGCUGCCCAAUUGCCUUCCUUGCAAAUUCUAGAAAUUGAUGGCCACAAAGAAUUGGGAAAUUUGUUUGCACAGCUCCAAGUACGUCCUUUAUAUUUCUCCAAUAAUUUUUUUCCUUUUUAAUCUAAAUUGUCAACUUCAAUACAUGUUGAUUUCUUCCUUUAAAUUUCUGAAACUGAAGUAAUUGAUAAGUGGAGAUAAAUCCUUUAGCCAUCCACUAAAUUGAAAAGGAGUUGUCUAAUUGUAUCAUUCCUUGUCUCUUGAUAGAGGGCUUAAGAAGUAAGAAAUUAAUUAUUGUAAUGAAAUCCUACCUUGAUUUAUGCUUUCCCAGUUUGAGUGAAAUUGAGGCUCUUCCCCCAAUUAAUGGAAGUAUUUGAAGAGGAAGAUAAACCUCCAUCUGCUAAUAUUGAGUUGAUUGUUUCAGUCCUGCAGCUUAUGAUUUCAUAUUCCCAUGUCUACUUCUAUCCUUUUGUUGAUAAGUUUUUUUGCUGAAGUUUAUAUGGACAAUUCGUUCAUCUAUUUACCAAAAUUAUAUAGUUCAAAAGUGCACAAAAUUUCUUUUGAUGCAGGGGUUGACAAAUUUGAAAACAUUACGCUUGAAGUCUCUGCCUGACAUGAGGUGUAUAUGGAAGGGUCUUGUGCUGAGCAAAUUGACUACUUUGGAGGUAAUCUAUCUGGAUAAAAAUUAGACCAAAGUACAUCAAAUAACAUCACAAAAAAAUUAUUAAUAUAUAAGAGCAUAAAUUUUGUGUUGAAAAUUUUGAAGUCAAUUAAAAUAUCUUUAAAAAUUUAUUAACUUUAUAACUAAAAUAAAAAUCUUAGUUACUAUUUUUAUUUUUAUUUUUUACAUGAAACUAAUUAUUAGGAGUUGUAUUAACCUUUUUUUCACAAAAAUCUAAUUAUUAUUCAACUUAUCUCUAAUUAAGAACAAAACUAAAACAAUAAUAUGUAAUCUCUAAAAAGUAUUUAAUCCUGUUUUUUUCUCCUAUUUAUACAUCAUAUAAAUUGUUUUUAUGAGAGUGAAAAAAUAUAAUAUUGUUCUCUGAUCAGAUGGCCGCCCAUGGGCAGCAAAACGGCUCCUUACAAAGAUUAGAAUCUGUACUAGUGGACAAUUGUGGGGAUGUUCGCGCUCCGUUUCCAGCAAAAUUGCUGCGAGCUUUGAACAAUCUAAGAUUGCGGGUGAGCAUUUCCACCUGCAAAUCAUUGGAAGAGGUAUUUGAAUUAGAUGAGGCUGAUGAAGGAAGCAGUGAGGAGAAGGAGCUGCUGUCAUCCUUAACAUUGUUACAGCUGUCAGGGUUACCUGAGCUCAAAUGCAUUUGGAAGGGGCCCACCAGACAUGUCAGCCUCCAAAGUCUUAAUAUUCUGAGUUUGGAUUCUCUCGACAAACUGCCAUUUAUCUUCACACCGUCCCUCGCUCAAAGUCUGCCAAAGCUAGCAGGCCUCUACAU